GACGAACGCUGGCGGCGUGCUUAACACAUGCAAGUCGAACGGAAAGGCCCUGCUUUUGUGGGGUGCUCGAGUGGCGAACGGGUGAGUAACACGUGAGUAACCUGCCCUUGACUUUGGGAUAACUUCAGGAAACUGGGGCUAAUACCGGAUAGGAGCUCCUGCUGCAUGGUGGGGGUUGGAAAGUUUCGGCGGUUGGGGAUGGAUUCGCGGCUUAUCAGCUUGUUGGUGGGGUAGUGGCUUACCAAGGCUUUGACGGGUAGCCGGCCUGAGAGGGUGACCGGCCACAUUGGGACUGCGAUACGGCCCAGACGGCUACGGGAGGCAGCAGUGGGGAAUAUUGCACAAUGGGCGGAAGCCUGAUGCAGCAACGCCGCGUGCGGGAUGACGGCCUUCGGGUUGUAAACCGCUUUCGCCUGUGACGAAGCGUGAGUGACGGUAAUGGGUAAAGAAGCACCGGCUAACUACGUG
RNAcentral lists this ribosomal RNA (468 nucleotides) under uncultured bacterium. RNAcentral's name for it is "partial 16S ribosomal RNA". It matches the Rfam family "Bacterial small subunit ribosomal RNA", at positions 28 to 507 of the family's 1533-position model. The record is from RNAcentral.